This 301-nucleotide ribosomal RNA is filed under the name uncultured bacterium. Its description in RNAcentral is "partial 16S ribosomal RNA". It matches the Rfam family "Bacterial small subunit ribosomal RNA", at positions 509 to 807 of the family's 1533-position model. The record is from RNAcentral.
CAGUAGCCGCGGUAGUACGUAGGGUGCGAGCGUUAAUCGGAAUUACUGGGCGUAAAGCGUGCGCAGGCGGUUGUGUAAGACAGGUGUGAAAUCCCCGGGCUUAACCUGGGAACUGCGCUUGUGACUGCACAGCUAGAGUAUGGCAGAGGGGGGUGGAAUUCCACGUGUAGCAGUGAAAUGCGUAGAGAUGUGGAGGAACACCGAUGGCGAAGGCAGCCCCCUGGGCCAAUACUGACGCUCAUGCACGAAAGCGUGGGGAGCAAACAGGAUUAGAUACCCGCGUAGUCCCUGUCUCUUAUAC